Molecule: ribosomal RNA, 244 nt
Filed under: Escherichia coli
Lineage: Bacteria; Pseudomonadati; Pseudomonadota; Gammaproteobacteria; Enterobacterales; Enterobacteriaceae
Description: partial 16S ribosomal RNA
Rfam family: Bacterial small subunit ribosomal RNA
Source: RNAcentral
AAAUUGAAGAGUUUGAUCAUGGCUCAGAUUGAACGCUGGCGGCAGGCCUAACACAUGCAAGUCGAACGGUAACAGGAAGAAGCUUGCUUCUUUGCUGACGAGUGGCGGACGGGUGAGUAAUGUCUGGGAAACUGCCUGAUGGAGGGGGAUAACUACUGGAAACGGUAGCUAAUACCGCAUAACGUCGCAAGACCAAAGAGGGGGACCUUCGGGCCUCUUGCCAUCGGAUGUGCCCAGAUGGGAU